Molecule: ribosomal RNA, 607 nt
Filed under: uncultured Bacteroidota bacterium
Lineage: Bacteria; Pseudomonadati; Bacteroidota
Description: bacterial SSU rRNA
Rfam family: Bacterial small subunit ribosomal RNA
Source: RNAcentral
AGUCGAGCGAUCCCGUUAGCAAUAAUGGGAGAGAGGCGGAAGGGUGAGUAACACGUAGGAGACCUACCUCAUCGCAGGGAACAACGGCGCGAAAGCGCCGCUAAUACCCAGAAGGCUCGUGGAUUCGUUUCCACGAGGAGAGUGCGUGCGCAAGCGCGAGCGUGAUGAGAGGGUCCUGCGGCCCAUCAGCUCGUUGGCAGGGUAACGGCCUACCAAGGCAACGACGGGUAGGGGGUCUGAGAGGACGAUCCCCCACACUGGAACUGAAACACGGUCCAGACGCCUACGGGUGGCAGCAGGGAGGAAUAUUGGUCAAUGGACGCAGGUCUGAACCAGCAACGCCCGCGUGAAGGACGAAGCCUUCGGGUCGUAAACUUCUUUUGAGGGAGACGAGCAAGGACGGUAUCCCUCGAAUCAAGCCGCGGCUAACUACGUGCCAGCAGCCCGCGGUAAAACGUAGGUGGCGAGCGUUAUCCGGAUUCAUUGGGCCGUAAAAGUGCUUGUAGGCGGCGUCAUAAAGUUGGACGUGAAAACUCCCGGCUUAACUUGGAAGAGGCCGUCAAUACUUGUGAGGCUAGAGGGUGUCAAAAGGGAAAUAGAAUUCCUG